This is a long non-coding RNA of Ficedula albicollis (Collared flycatcher), 507 nucleotides long. RefSeq lists it as uncharacterized. The record is from RefSeq and is a predicted model, not a curated record. Lineage: Eukaryota; Metazoa; Chordata; Aves; Passeriformes; Muscicapidae. The transcript is spliced from 3 exons.
AGAGAGCAGCACAGGUAGCCAUGGUCAGUAUAUACCAGUAAGGUCACACAUCCAGAGAAUCCUGUGACAUCACAAUAAACACAACAAUAAAGCUCUGGUGGAUUGGGAAGUCACCGAGAUGACAGGAAGGUAUCUUUGGACUCAGUUGCUUUCCACCAUACUUACUUCACCUAAUUAUUGGUUAAGUUCUAGAAUCGGCCCAAUAUUUUCCAGAGGUUGAAUGCUUGAAACUCCCGUGAAUUUACUGCUAAACAUAAGAGCGUGUGCAGCCCUGCCCCAAAAAGGCUAAAACAGGACAAGAAUAGUUACAUAAAAGGCGAUGAUGAUGACCACAGGUGUGGAACAAUUUCAUAUAGUGAAUGCAGGCCAGAGAAGAGCAGUUACAGAGGAAGAGGGUACUCUGUCAAAAAUGGCAAGGUGAUAGCUAAUACAGAGCAAUUGAUGAGCGUGAAUUGUAUGAUGAGAAUUAAAGAAAUCGAGUUGAAAUUUAAAAUACUACAAGAAAUA